Molecule: ribosomal RNA, 460 nt
Filed under: uncultured bacterium
Lineage: Bacteria
Description: partial 16S ribosomal RNA
Rfam family: Bacterial small subunit ribosomal RNA
Source: RNAcentral
CCUACGGGAGGCAGCAGUGAGGAAUAUUGGUCAAUGGACGAGAGUCUGAACCAGCCAAGUAGCGUGAAGGAUGACUGCCCUAUGGGUUGUAAACUUCUUUUAUAUGGGAAUAAAACGUUCCACGUGUGGGAUUUUGUAUGUACCAUAUGAAUAAGGAUCGGCUAACUCCGUGCCAGCAGCCGCGGUAAUACGGAGGAUCCGAGCGUUAUCCGGAUUUAUUGGGUUUAAAGGGAGCGUAGGUGGAUUUUUAAGUCAGUUGUGAAAGUUUGCGGCGUAACCGUAAAAUUGCAGUUGAAACUGGCAGUCUUGAGUACAGUAGAGGUGGGCGGAAGUCGUGGUGUAGCGGUGAAAUGCUUAGAUAUCACGAAGAACUCCGAUUGCGAAGGCAGUUCACUGGACUGCAACUGACACUGAGGCUCGAAAGUGUGGGUAUCAAACAGGAUUAGAUACCCCAGUAGUC